CAGCCGCGGUAAUUCCAGCUCCAAUAGCGUAUAUUAAAGUUGUUGCAGUUAAAAAGCUCGUAGUUGAAUUUCGGGAUUGACGUGACGGUCGUGCCUUACGGGGUAUGAACUGUUGCUGUUGAUUUCUCACCUUCUGGAGAAACUUGAUGUCCUUAAUUGGGUGUCUUGCGGAUCCAGGACCUUUACCUUGAAAAAAUUAGAGUGUUUAAAGCAGGCAUUUUGCUCGAAUACAUUAGCAUGGAAAUAAUAGAAUAGGACGGCAUGGUUCUAUUUUGUUGGUUUCUAGGAUCACCGUAAUGAUUAAUAGGGAUAGUUGGGGCAUUAGUAUUCAAUUGUCAGAGGUGAAAUUCUUGGAUUUAUUGAAGACUAACUACUGCGAAAGCAUUUGAUGUUUUCAUUAAUCAAGAACGAAAGUUAGGGAUCGAAGACGAUCAGAUACCGUCGUAGUCUUAACCUUAACCAUAAACUAUGCCGACUAGGGGAUCGGAUGAUGUUAAUUUUUAUAAUGACUCAUUCGGCGCCUUACGGGAAAC
RNAcentral lists this ribosomal RNA (533 nucleotides) under uncultured Glomeromycotina. Its description in RNAcentral is "SSU rRNA". It matches the Rfam family "Eukaryotic small subunit ribosomal RNA", at positions 571 to 1098 of the family's 1831-position model. The record is from RNAcentral. Lineage: Eukaryota; Fungi; Glomeromycota.